GCCUGGGUAGCUCAGUGGUUGAGCAUCUGCCUUAGGCUCAGGUCAUGAUCCUGGGGUCCUGGGAUUGAGUCCCACAUCAGGCU
RNAcentral lists this transfer RNA (83 nucleotides) under Canis lupus familiaris (dog). It matches the Rfam family "tRNA". Rfam says of the family: Transfer RNA (tRNA) molecules are approximately 80 nucleotides in length. Their secondary structure includes four short double-helical elements and three loops (D, anti-codon, and T loops). Further hydrogen bonds mediate the characteristic L-shaped molecular structure. tRNAs have two regions of fundamental functional importance: the anti-codon, which is responsible for specific mRNA codon recognition, and the 3' end, to which the tRNAs corresponding amino acid is attached (by aminoacyl-tRNA synthetases). tRNAs cope with the degeneracy of the genetic code in two manners: having more than one tRNA (with a specific anti-codon) for a particular amino acid; and 'wobble' base-pairing, i.e. permitting non-standard base-pairing at the 3rd anti-codon position. Lineage: Eukaryota; Metazoa; Chordata; Mammalia; Carnivora; Canidae. The record is from Rfam by way of RNAcentral. RNAcentral also lists the same sequence under 3 other names.